UACGAGGGGUGCAAGCGUUGCUCGGAAUUAUUGGGCGUAAAGGGUAGGUAGGUGGUCUUAUUUGUCUGGGGUGAAUGCCUUGGGCUCAACCUGAGAAGUGCCCCAGAAACGGUAAGACUAGAGUCCUGGAGAGGGUCGUGGAAUUCCCGGUGUAGCGGUGAAAUGCGUAGAGAUCGGGAGGAACACCAGAGGCGAAAGCGGCGACCUGGACAGGCACUGACACUCAACUACGAAAGCGUGGGGAG
This 245-nucleotide ribosomal RNA is filed under the name uncultured bacterium. RNAcentral's name for it is "partial 16S ribosomal RNA". It matches the Rfam family "Bacterial small subunit ribosomal RNA", at positions 524 to 768 of the family's 1533-position model. The record is from RNAcentral.